CUCUGGGGAGCGGCCACAAGAUGGCAGUGUUUCAGAACAUUGUUUUACGGGGACGUGAGCUUAGCUGAAACGCUGACCAGGAAGGUGUCGAUGCAGCCUUGAUAUUUAAAGAGGUAAAUCCUUUCCUGCUGAGAGUAGAAGCAUCAUAGAGCAUGUUCUGGACAAUUUCUGGUGACUCAUCCCUAGCCCCUAUCCAGAAUUACCUAAUAUGAUGUUACCCUUGUCUGCUACUGGCUGGCACAAUCAUAAGAAGUCACUAGCUCGUGUCUGCCCUUCCCUAGGACUUCCGUGUCACCUGGCUUAUCCAAGCCCUCUUCGGUGGUCUGUGGGACAUUUUUUGUACUUUAAGAUUAGAGUGCCUACAAGUAGGAAGAAGGACAUAGCACCAUCGCCACUCAGAUGGCUCCAACGGCUCUAUUAUGCAAAGGAUACAUUUUACCGUCCUGGAGAGUUUUGUGGAACAGAGCUGGAGUUGAGCCACAGACAGAAAACAAUGCAUAUCAAAGAUGGCAGAGUAAAACAUCGACUGUCUACUGAAACACAAUCGCAGUCUUUGCCUGGGGUAGCCGAGUCUAAUUGAAGCCAUCGUUUCACAACCGAGAGGGAACUUUCUCUGGAGAAGCUGAGGAAGCCUGAAAGCAACGACAGAGAAAGCUGCUGCUGCUGCUGCUGCUGCGGUCCUCGAGGUCAAAUUGCGAUGGAAGUGACGUGUGUUGGCAUCUGCCUGUUUUACUUCUGGGCUCGCUUCCCAUUUUCUCAGUGCCUCCUCAGUUCCCUCCGAGUUGGUGGAAACUUGUUUCCUCUUAGCCUCUGUUCUUCCUUGGUUUUAUCAAAACAUGAGAUAAGGAAGGGCUUUAUUUCAGCCAAAUUUUCUCUGUGUGAAAUGAUGACAAUGAAUGGUUUCUCCCAUAGUUAUUUGCAUUUUAAGUAUCAGUAAUAAAUAUGGAAGAAAAUAGUUUUCUUCUUGGUAACUUACAUUUAUAUUCUUAACAAGGGGUGGAAACAUUUUUUAAGGAAAAAAUCAAUUCUCCCUUAACAUCUCUCUGGUUGUAUAUUUAAUACUUAAAGUGGGUCAUAAUGGCCAGAAUGCACUCCUAUUCAACCUCCUCAGAGGAUAGAAGAAGAAUUUUGCUUUUGAUAUAUAGAGGAGUAUCUUAGAAAUCUGUGAGAAAUCAGUGUAUUAGUUCUCAUGGAGAUAGUCAAGCUUACUUUGAGAUCUUGUUCUCUUCCAUUUUAUCUUUCUUU
RNAcentral lists this long non-coding RNA (1245 nucleotides) under Chinchilla lanigera (long-tailed chinchilla). RNAcentral describes it as "lncRNA (ENSCLAG00000026196.1)". Lineage: Eukaryota; Metazoa; Chordata; Mammalia; Rodentia; Chinchillidae. The record is from RNAcentral.